Molecule: long non-coding RNA, 729 nt
Organism: Manis javanica (Malayan pangolin)
Lineage: Eukaryota; Metazoa; Chordata; Mammalia; Pholidota; Manidae
Source: RefSeq, a predicted model, not a curated record
ACCUGAUUAGAAGUUAUUAGACAAGUCUGGAGAGAAGAGCAGCAAAGUAAAGCCUUACUGCGGAGGAAGGAGGCUUUCACCCAACAGCCAGGAGGUGAUGCCGUCUCCUGCCCACCUUCACAUCCUCGCACCCUCACCUCCACGGAUCCCAAACCUGAAGAGGCCAUCCGCUACCUGGGCUGUCAAUGCUCAGGGGUGAGAAGAGUAGUGUGGCCUUGGAUGAGCAAGCUGGCACUAGCAGAGGACUGAGAGGACCUGAGGACAGUGCACUCUGAUGGGAAGAGGAGGAAAGUGUCGGCACUGGGCUCGAGGGCCCCCCAAGGAGGCAGGGGAACCUUGUGGGAUGGUGCUAAGUUACAGCCCACUCUUGGCACAGCCAAUAUGGCCAGACAACCUGCCUGGGAAACUUUGGCUUGGGGAAACCAGUCUGUUUCGGUGAAGUAAAGAGCUGAGAGUGGAACAAGAAGGAAGAGGGUACAACAGCUAACCCCCAGCCCGCCCUGGAGAGAAGACUCAAGAAUCAAGGGCACCCGUCAGAGCUGGAAGCCAUAAAUGCCCAGGUAUCUAGGCAAAGCCUGGGAUUAAUCACCCACCAUAAAAGCAGCACACUGAGGUGGGCGGGGGAGUCUCCUCAAAAGUGAGCUUCCCCAAAGCUGCCUUCUGUACCCUAUCAAUAAACAAUUCAUUUCGGCCCUCCCCACCCGGGCCCUACCUGCUGGAGUAGAAGGA